This is a non-coding RNA of Mus musculus (house mouse), 269 nucleotides long. The record is from Rfam. NCBI's taxonomy places the organism in Eukaryota, Metazoa, Chordata, Mammalia, Rodentia, Muridae.
UGGCACCCAGCAAGUGGGGCUCGAGUAUGGGGGCUUCAGUGAAGAAUGCCUUGGUGUUUCUGUUCAGCUGAUUUUGUGUGGAAGACGCCCUGCAAGGGAGCCUGCUGCCCUGACUAGGGAUCCCGGUUAGUCUGCAGUAAUCAUGGGACAGGCACUUAGUAGCCAUGAACUCUUUGUGGAAGGUUUGAAAAGGGCUUUAAAGGCUCAAGGGAUAAAGGUUAAAAGACUUACUUGCAUUUUCUUUGAUUUUGUAAAAGAGAUUUGUCCAU